Molecule: non-coding RNA, 23 nt
Filed under: Arabidopsis thaliana (thale cress)
Lineage: Eukaryota; Viridiplantae; Streptophyta; Magnoliopsida; Brassicales; Brassicaceae
Source: RNAcentral
AAGGCAACUUUUCUGGCGAUUGC